AUCAACGCGGGCGGCGUGCCUAACACAUGCAAGUCGAACGCGAAAGCCCCGCAAGGGGUGAGUAGAGUGGCAAACGGGUGAGUAACACGUGGGUGACCUACCUUCGAGUGGGGGAUAACGUUCCGAAAGGAGCGCUAAUACCGCAUGACAUCCUGCCUUUGGAAAGGCGGACAUUAAAGCCGGGGAUCGCAAGACCUGGCGCUUGAAGAGGGGCCCGCGCCUGAUUAGCUAGUUGGUGGGGUAACGGCUCACCAAGGCGACGAUCAGUAGCCGGCCUGAGAGGGCGGACGGCCACACUGGGACUGAGACACGGCCCAGACUCCUACGGGAGGCAGCAGUGGGGAAUUGUUCGCAAUGGGCGCAAGCCUGACGACGCAACGCCGCGUGGAGGACGAAGAUCUUCGGGUCGUAAACUCCUUUCGAUCGGGAAGAACGGCUUCCGGGCGAACAGCCUGGAAGAGUGACGGUACCGAGAGAAGAAGCCCCGGCUAACUCCGUGCCAGCAGCCGCGGUAAUACGGGGGGGGCAAGCGUUGUUCGGAAUUACUGGGCGUAAAGGGCUAGUAGGCGGCCAACUAAGUCCGACGUGAAAUCCCUAGGCUUAACCUAGGAACUGCGUCGGAUACUGGAUGGCUUGAAUCCGGGAGAGGGAUGCGGAAUUCCAGGUGUAGCGGUGAAAUGCGUAGAUAUCUGGAGGAACACCGGUGGCGAAGGCGGCAUCCUGGACCGGCAUUGACGCUGAAUAGCGAAAGCCAGGGGAGCAAACGGGAUUAGAUAACCCGGUAGUCCUGGCCCUAAACGAUGAAUGCUUGGUGUGGCGGGUAUCGAUCCCUGCCGUGCCGAAGCUAACGCAUUAAGCAUUCCGCCUGGGGAGUACGGUCGCAGGCUGA
RNAcentral lists this ribosomal RNA (889 nucleotides) under uncultured bacterium. RNAcentral describes it as "bacterial SSU rRNA". It matches the Rfam family "Bacterial small subunit ribosomal RNA", at positions 29 to 897 of the family's 1533-position model. The record is from RNAcentral.